Brachypodium distachyon (stiff brome) is the source of this 1571-nucleotide long non-coding RNA. RefSeq lists it as uncharacterized. The record is from RefSeq and is a predicted model, not a curated record. NCBI's taxonomy places the organism in Eukaryota, Viridiplantae, Streptophyta, Magnoliopsida, Poales, Poaceae. The transcript is spliced from 2 exons.
UCCCGAGUCCCGAUCCAAUCUCCUCCGACUAGCGUCUAGCGCGCGUUCCCCCCUCUCUCGCGCUCUCUGUAUCUGUCUCUGCCGCUCGAGGCUCGACCCCAAGCUAGGGUUUGGAGCUGUUUGCACCACCCGCCGGCAGGCCCGCAAGACCCGUCUCCGCCGCUUGCACCGUCGCGCACCGUUGCAGCCCCUGUAUCCGCUGCCCUGGCCGCCUCCGCAGUUCCCAGCGCCGCCACCAUAGUCCCCCAUCUCCGCCGCCCUGCGUCGCCGUCCGCAGGCCCCGUCCCUGCCGUCACGGCCACCAUCGGAGCCCCAGCUCCGACGGCUUGCGCCGCUGCCAAAGCUCCUGGCUCCACCGCCAUGGGAGGGAAAAUGUCAAGGAGACGAGGGAAGGGAUGGGCGCGAUGUCGAGGCGGGUGCUGCCCUCCUGCAGGGCCCUCUGCUACUUCUGCCCUACCUUUGGACCUUAUCCUUUCAACCCUUUAAGAGGUACAAGAAGAUCAUCUCCAAGAUCUACCAGUUGCCACCGGUACUGCCAAUCCUGCCCGUUAGCAUUUGAAAAUGGGUGUUUUUGUUCAAAUGUGUGGGAGUUUGCUAAUUGGGAAACUCUGCCAUUAUGCCUCAAGAAGUCCAACAUGUACACAUACCAACUGUAACACACUCCAUAUCCUCCCUCUUUUUCCUACUGUCAUCUAAUAGUUAUUGCUGGAUUUGCUCAAGACUGAAUCAAGUCAGUGGAAGAAACUGAAUUCAGUAAUGCAAAGUAUUUGUUCUCCAAAGGGGAUUUUCUGAUCAGUGAUGGACAAAGUAGUCGCUUUAUUGUUACUUUUAUACUGAUCAGUGAUCUUCAAUGUUUUUGUCUGAUGGGCACCACUCUUGGUAGUGUUUCGUACAUGUAUUUAGUAAUCACCAGUCACCACAGUGUUCUACUCCUUUUUUGUUUAACAGCUAGGUGGAUGAAUGAACAAACUAGGUAAGACCAGAAUUUAACUUCACUCCUGUGUUUUGAACAGAUAACAGAGUAUCUUGAGCAGAGAUGCUAUAAAGAACUGAGACAUGAGAAUUUCACCUUAGCCAAAGUUGUACUAUGCAUCUAACUCAAUGUCCUGGGUUGUUUGAUGCUUGUCGACUUCCUCAAAGGACCGUAGUAAGAUCAUCAGUUGCUUACACAGUCCACCGGUCCUGUCGCAUGAGUUUUAUUAUUGCAGAUAUAUGCUUUUAUACCAUGAGUUUUAUUAUUGUAGAUACUUGACGUUAAUAAACUCAACAUUAUAUUGGUGCAGGCAAGCUGUACUGCUUUUUGAUGGUCAACCCAAUUCCUUUCCAAUCUGCUUUUCAAUGUGAAGGAUGAUCAGUGGCUAAUUAGGUUCCGGCGAAUGUAGUAGGAAUUAGCAAUGCAUGGAUGCUUCUGCACAUAGAAAGGGAAAAUAGGCAGGAGGUAGAAUGUACCGUUUAUGGAAUAUUUGACGUGCAGAUCGUAGUGAUGUGCUCAAUUCCUUGAUCUAUACUUGUAUUGUAUGCCUAUGAACUGUAAUCAAACUGUCUCUUUAUAUAUAGUUCCUACUGCUCAA